Molecule: ribosomal RNA, 399 nt
Filed under: uncultured bacterium
Lineage: Bacteria
Description: bacterial SSU rRNA
Rfam family: Bacterial small subunit ribosomal RNA
Source: RNAcentral
ACUAAAUAGAUACCCAGGUAGUCCACGCCCUAAACGAUGCGAACUGGACGUUGGUUGCAACUUGGCAAAUCAGUGUCGAAAGCUAACGCGUUAAGUUCGCCGCCUGGGGAGUACGGUCGCAAGACUGAAACUCAAAGGAAUUGACGGGGGCCCGCACAAGCGGUGGAGUAUGUGGUUUAAAUUCGAUGCAACGCGCAGAACCUUACCUGACCUUGACAUGUCGCGAACUUUCCAGAGAUGGAUUGGUGCCUUCGGGAACGCGAACACAGGUGCUGCAUGGCUGUCGUCAGCUCGUGUCGUGAGAUGUUGGGUUAAGUCCCGCAACGAGCGCAACCCUUGUCCUUAGUUGCCAGCACGUAAAGGUGGGAACUCUAAGGAGACUGCCGGUGACAAACCGGA